This 237-nucleotide long non-coding RNA is filed under the name Mytilus galloprovincialis (Mediterranean mussel). Lineage: Eukaryota; Metazoa; Mollusca; Bivalvia; Mytilida; Mytilidae. The record is from RNAcentral.
UCUGGCAUAUAAUGAUUCCUACUCUCGCAUGCGUUUGCUACCUGGUGUUUCUGAUAUUUACGACGAAAUAUUCUCAAUAUUUUCGAAAACUGAGGAUUAUUUUACCUGUUGUCCAAUGUAAAUGUUUACUUGUUCAGAGGUAUAUAUCUCGUUGUAAUGAAGUGUUUCAUGAAUCAAUGAAUAAGGUCUUAAACCAAAUUCGUGCAGUCUUACAUGUUAAAACAUUGUGGCUGAUAG